AGAAUCCAAUUGAAGCAUGGAUGCUGUGGAAAAUGAAAAUUGGAAUCAAAUUACAUGCUAUGUUUGUGCAGAAAACAAAUUCUAUAUGGUGAUUUGAAAUUCCCUCAUCUGGUAAUGUCAUUUUGCAGCUCUUCUUAAGCUGUUUCUGAUCAGAAGCAUGAAAAUGUUUCCUAAACAGCUGAAGUCUUUCUUUUUUCAGUUGAUGCUAACCUUAUUAUUCUCUUAAUUCUGUUGUUAAUUCUUCAUCCAGUAUCCUGGUCUCCAUCGCUUUCAAAUCUAGGUCUGUCACCUACUGAAGGUGUUAACAUUAUUCUCUGAGAGAGUUUCACUUCAUGCUUGAGACCUUGGGCCUUUUUUUAUGUCCAUUUGAGCAGCUUGCAUUUCAG
Molecule: unclassified non-coding RNA, 386 nt
Filed under: Hevea brasiliensis (rubber tree)
Lineage: Eukaryota; Viridiplantae; Streptophyta; Magnoliopsida; Malpighiales; Euphorbiaceae
Source: RNAcentral